Molecule: non-coding RNA, 73 nt
Organism: Phrynosoma platyrhinos (Desert horned lizard)
Lineage: Eukaryota; Metazoa; Chordata; Lepidosauria; Squamata; Phrynosomatidae
Source: the annotation of a GenBank genome assembly
GUCAGUGUAGUACAGUGGUUAGGGUGUCGGACUAGGAUUUUGUAGUCUAGGGUUCAGAUCCCCUGUUCAGUCA